CUACGGGAGGCACCAGUAAGGAAUAUUGCGCAAUGGAGGCAACUCUGACGCAGCCAUGCCGCGUGCAGGAAGAAGGCCUUAUGGGUCGUAAACUGCUUUUAUUAGGGAAUAAACCCUCGCUCGUGAGCGAGGCUGAAGGUACCUAAAGAAUAAGCACCGGCUAACUGCGUGCCAGCAGCCGCGGUAAUACGGAGGGUGCAAGCGUUAUCCGGAUGUAUUGGGUUUAAAGGGUGCGCAGGCGGACUAUUAAGUCAGUGGUGAAAUCCCGGGGCUCAACCUCGGAACUGCCAUUGAUACUGAUAGUCUUGAGUUUGGUUGAAGUAGGCGGAAUGUAGCAUGUAGCGGUGAAAUGCAUAGAUAUGCUACAGAACACCAAUCGCGAAGGCAGCUUACUAAGCCAAAACUGACGCUCAUGCACGAAAGCGUGGGGAGCAAACAGGAUUAGAUACCCCCGUAGUC
RNAcentral lists this ribosomal RNA (459 nucleotides) under uncultured bacterium. RNAcentral's name for it is "partial 16S ribosomal RNA". It matches the Rfam family "Bacterial small subunit ribosomal RNA", at positions 339 to 795 of the family's 1533-position model. The record is from RNAcentral.